Hyla sarda is the source of this 1398-nucleotide long non-coding RNA. RefSeq lists it as uncharacterized. The record is from RefSeq and is a predicted model, not a curated record. The transcript is spliced from 4 exons. Lineage: Eukaryota; Metazoa; Chordata; Amphibia; Anura; Hylidae.
AUUUAGAUACAGGGCUACAAGUGUGAUACCGGCCAAAAUCUCUUCAGUCAAUGGUCAUGGGUUUUGGGGUCCAUAAGUAUCAAAUGUUUCUAUGUCUGCAUAUUUUUUGUCCAUGUAGUAUAUGUUUAUCUCGAUAAAUAAGAGGCAAACAACAUGGAUCCAGAUCAUUUAAUAUUCCCUUCACGUUUCACCAGCGUGCUCUGCCGGAAGCCAGAAAAGACGAGGCAUUCAAGAUGCCUGCAAGAAGUCCUUCUCCAUCUUUCUACGUUCCAAGUUCUCCUCUCUAAAUCUUGCCCCGUAGACUCCACGUCACCUUAUUCAGCCAACUGCACUAAGCAGAACGGGAGUGAGGUGCCACUUUCUCGAUAUUUGGGAGACCAAAACCUAAACAACAGUUGCUAGGAAACUAGUUUUGGCUCGGUGGUUUCCGUGACAACGAUGAUGUACGACUGGGAAAGAUCUCAAAAAGAAAAGAAUGGAGAGAGAGAGAGAAAAUAAAGAAAAAGAAUGCGGGAAGGAGCACAUUCCGGAAUGGAGAAGAGCGGACAACCUGAGUUCUCCUGAACGACAUGUCCCAGCAUGGUCAUUGGCUGAAUGGGCGUGAUGGUUUAUGAAUAGAGGCUACACGAAAUACUAGUGUCGUAGUUAACAUCCUGUGCUCUCUUCUGACACCUCUGUCCAUAUCAGACGCGACAGUCUCAGCUCUGCGUGCUCUCUGCUGACACCUCUGUCCAUAUCAGACGCGACAGUCUCAGCUCUGCGGGUUGGAGCUCAAAUGGUUCAGAGAUUUUAAGGUAACCUCCUAUUCUUCAUCUUCAGCAAUGUACAAAUGUACGGACUUCUCUAGUCAUAUUCCCAAAUUGUUGACCCUAGAGAUUCCUCCUAGUCACAGUCAAAGGUCAAAAAUGGUGGAAUUCUGUCAAUAAGGCAGAGGUCAAGGGAGGUGUAAAUAAGCCAAGAUGUUUCCAAAAUCCGUUGACCGUUCUCAGUAACCCAGGCGCAGAACUUUGAUAUUAGUAAAACAAAGAUGUCUUCUUUGAAGAGCUGAUCAUGAGGUGGACCUUGACGUGGUCGGAUUGAAUUCUGUGGUCUUCUACACCGGGUGGACUGUGUCAAUCCAACACUGUUCAUCUCUAUUUAAAUACUAGCCACCUGUUACGAAACAAGGAAUGGAUACGAGAUGAUCUGUGCUAUCGAGCCAGGAAGCAAAUGUUACCUGUUGAUGUGGAGUCAUAAAGCAGAUGGAGCGGACAUGUUUAAUACUAGGACUGCGAGGAUGUUCAUCACCCCCACAGGACCAGUUAUACAUUUAUACAUUAUUAGCUCACUUUUUGCUAAAUGCUUUUAUGUCCUCUGAAUCCUGCGCCGAUAUUAAGCUGCACAUAGGACGCUGUCAAU